Molecule: long non-coding RNA, 497 nt
Filed under: Homo sapiens (human)
Lineage: Eukaryota; Metazoa; Chordata; Mammalia; Primates; Hominidae
Description: HSALNT0036179
Source: RNAcentral
GUGGGAGACAGGAGGGAGCGAGGGCCUGGGCGGAGCUGACUAUUCCUGCCUGGGGGUCCAGGUGAGUGAUGCUGCGGCUGCUUCCCGGUGGCAGAGGCAGAGAUGAGGAGUGCGGUGGAUUCUGGAGAGAUUCUGACACCAGAACUGCCAGGGUUUGCUGAUGGAUUGGGUGUGAGAGAAAGAGGAGCUGCUGGAGAGGACAGUGGAGGAGCCAUAUGUGUGUGCACAUGGGGAUGGGGACAAUCAGGCCACAUUAUCUUUGAGAUGCCUGUGAGACCUCAGCACGUCGAGGGUGCAGGCAUAGGUCUAGACUUGGGAGUCGUAGCGUGUGGGUGAUCCCUAAAGCCUUGAGACUGGAUGAAGGCAGGAGUUUUGCCUGUUUUGUUCACUGCUGUGUCCCCAGCCCCACGCCUGGCACACAGCAGGUGCUCAAUAAGCGUUUUUGAACACAUGGUCACCUGGCUCAUGCCCAGCUGGGUCAGAGAAGCAUGCUUUGC